RNAcentral lists this ribosomal RNA (244 nucleotides) under uncultured bacterium. RNAcentral describes it as "partial 16S ribosomal RNA". It matches the Rfam family "Bacterial small subunit ribosomal RNA", at positions 90 to 334 of the family's 1533-position model. The record is from RNAcentral.
CGUGAGCGGCGGACGGGUGAGUAACGCGUGGGUAACCUGCCUCAUACAGGGGGAUAACAGUUGGAAACGGCUGCUAAUACCGCAUAAGCGCACAGUACCGCAUGGUACGGUGUGAAAAACUCCGGUGGUAUGAGAUGGACCCGCGUCUGAUUAGGUAGUUGGUGGGGUAACGGCCUACCAAGGCGACGAUCAGUAGCCGACCUGAGAGGGUGACCGGCCACAUUGGGACUGAGACACGGCCCAA